GACGAACGCUGGCGGCGUGCUUAACACAUGCAGGUCGAACGGAAAGGCCCUGCUUUUGUGGGGUGCUCGAGUGGCGAACGGGUGAGUAACAAGUGAGUAACCUGCCCUUGACUUUGGGAUAACUUCAGGAAACUGGGGCUAAUACCGGAUAGGAGCUCCUGCUGCAUGGUGGGGGUUGGAAAGUUUCGGCGGUUGGGGAUGGACUCGCGGCUUAUCAGCGUGUUGGUGGGGUAGUGGCUUACCAAGGCUUUGACGGGUAGCCGGCCUGAGAGGGUGACCGGCCACAUUGGGACUGAGAUACGGCCCAGACGCCUACGGGAGGCAGCAGUGGGGAAUAUUGCACAAUGGGCGGAAGCCUGAUGCAGCAACGCCGCGGGCGGGAUGACGGCCUUCGGGUUGUAAACCGCUUUCGCCUGUGACGAAGCGUGAGUGACGGUAAUGGGUAAAGAAGCACCGGCUAACUACGUG
Molecule: ribosomal RNA, 468 nt
Filed under: uncultured bacterium
Lineage: Bacteria
Description: partial 16S ribosomal RNA
Rfam family: Bacterial small subunit ribosomal RNA
Source: RNAcentral